RNAcentral lists this long non-coding RNA (253 nucleotides) under Phasianus colchicus (ring-necked pheasant). RNAcentral describes it as "lncRNA (ENSPCLG00000017618.1)". Lineage: Eukaryota; Metazoa; Chordata; Aves; Galliformes; Phasianidae. The record is from RNAcentral.
ACUGGCUCUCCACGUGGCUUGCAUUCGCUAUGUGGCUGGCCCUGGCUCUCCACGUGGCUCGCCUUGGCUCCCUAUGUGGCUCCCUUGGGCUCCCUAUGCAGCUGGCACUGGCACUCUAAGUGGCUUGCCCUGGCUCCCUAUGCGGCUGGCACUGGCACUCUAAGUGGCUUGCCCUGGCUCCCUAUGCGGCUUGCACUGGCACUCUAAGUGGCUUGCAUCAGCUCCCUAUGUGGCUUGCACCAGCUCCCUAUGC